CAAUAGCGUAUAUUAAAGUUGUUGCAGUUAAAAAGCUCGUAGUUGAAUUUUUGCUUGCCGCCGAUGUCGGAACUUCCGUACGUUCGGCGGCGUGCAUCCUUGGGUGGAACCUGUGUGGCAUUAGGUUGUCGUGCAGGGGAUGCUCAUCGUUUACUGUGAAAAAAUUAGAGUGUUCAAAGCAGGCUUACGCCGUUGAAUAUAUUAGCAUGGAAUAAUAAGAUAGGACCUUGGUACUAUUUUGUUGGUUUGCGCACCGAGGUAGUGAUUAACAGGGACAGUUGGGGGUAUUCGUAUUCCAUUGUCAGAGGUGAAAUUCUUGGAUUUCUGGAAGACGAACUACUGCGAAAGCAUUUACCAAGGAUGUUUUCAUUAA
This 373-nucleotide ribosomal RNA is filed under the name uncultured eukaryote. RNAcentral describes it as "partial 18S ribosomal RNA". It matches the Rfam family "Eukaryotic small subunit ribosomal RNA", at positions 592 to 976 of the family's 1831-position model. The record is from RNAcentral.